GACGAACGCUGGCGGCGUGCCUAAUACAUGCAAGUCGAGCGCGGGAAGCAGACAGAAGCCUUCGGGCGGAUGUUUGUGGAACGAGCGGCGGAUGGGUGAGUAACACGUGGGCAACCUGCCUGUAAGCUCGGGAUAACUAACGGAAACGUUAGCUAAUACCGGAUGAAGCUGCAUACCGCAUGGUAUGUAGAUGAAAGACGGCAUUUGCUGUCACUUACAGAUGGGCCCGCGGCGCAUUAGCUAGUUGGUGGGGUAACGGCUCACCAAAGCGACGAUGCGUAGCCGACCUGAGAGGGUGAUCGGCCACACUGGGACUGAGACACGGCCCAGACUCCUACGGGAGGCAGCAGUAGGGAAUAUUCCGCAAUGGACGCAAGUCUGACGGAGCGACGCCGCGUGAGUGAUGAAGGUCUUCGGAUCGUAAAACUCUGUUGUUAGGGAAGAACAAGUAUCGGAGUAAUAUGCCGGUACCUUGACGGUACCUAACCAGAAAGCCCCGGCUAACUACGUGCCAGCAGCCGCGGUAAUACGUAGGGGGCAAGCGUUGUCCGGAAUUAUUGGGCGUAAAGGGCGCGCAGGCGGUUAUCUAAGUCUGAUGUGAAAUCUUGUGGCUUAACCACAAGCGGUCAUUGGAAACUGGAUAACUUGAGUGCAGAAGAGGAGAGUGGAAUUCCACGUGUAGCGGUGAAAUGCGUAGAGAUGUGGAGGAACACCAGUGGCGAAGGCGGCUCUCUGGUCUGUAACUGACGCUGAGGCGCGAAAGCGUGGGGAGCGAACAGGAUUAGAUACCCUGGUAGUCCACGCCGUAAACGAUGAGUGCUAGGUGUUAGGGGGUUUCCGCCCCUUAGUGCUGGAGUUAACGCAUUAAGCACUCCGCCUGGGGAGUACGGCCGCAAGGCUGAAACUCAAAAGAAUUGACGGGGGCCCGCACAGCGGUGGAGCAUGUGGUUUAAUUCGAAGCUACGCGAAAACCUUACCAGGUCUUGACAUCCGGUGACGCUCUAAAAUAANCUUUCCUUCGGGANNACGUGACAGUGGUGCAUGCUGUCUCA
RNAcentral lists this ribosomal RNA (1052 nucleotides) under uncultured bacterium. RNAcentral describes it as "bacterial SSU rRNA". It matches the Rfam family "Bacterial small subunit ribosomal RNA", at positions 28 to 1057 of the family's 1533-position model. The record is from RNAcentral.